Molecule: long non-coding RNA, 741 nt
Organism: Sebastes umbrosus (honeycomb rockfish)
Lineage: Eukaryota; Metazoa; Chordata; Actinopteri; Perciformes; Sebastidae
Exons: 3
Source: RefSeq, a predicted model, not a curated record
UCCACACUGUAGACUGGAGACUCUGAGAUUGAUGAGCUGCAAGUUGUCAGAGAUCAGCUUUGAUUCUCUGGCCUCAGCUCUGAAGUCCAACCCUUCCCAUCUGAGAGAGCUGGAGCUGAGAGACAACAAGCUGAAGGAUUCAGACGUGAAGCAGCUGUCUGAUCUUGUGGAGAGCCCACACUGUAGACUGGAGACUGUGAGAUGGAAGUGGUGGUGAUCUCUGUCAGAGUGAGUGAUCAGAAAAGUGGAUGUGUUGAGAGGAUCAGCCGUGUCCUGAUGAUCCACAGAGGUUCACCACCUGGACCUGCAUCUUAUUUUGUCUUUUUUAUUCAUUCAUAUAUUCGGAACACAAAAUGCCUCUGCAGAAUAGUUCAGUUUAUGACAACAUAACUCUAGAUUAACACAUUCAAAUAGAUCUUUCUGCUCUGCUUUGUGUCGCAGCUCCACCCUGUGGAACGAUGGAGUUUGGCUGUUUAUUUCCACAUAUUUCUAGAUAACAGUGGAAGUUGAUAAAGGUACCUUUCUAAACCCAAUACCAGCCGUUUCUCAUAUUAUAAAAGAUAGAUAUUGGCUUGUAACAAACAGAAAGAAUUAGAUAAAACCUGAAUUCAAUCAAGGCUUCAGUGAAGUUUCUCAACUGACUACAAACAGAUUAUGUCUGGAUUUUGGUGGAAAGUCAACCCCUUCAUAUUUUAUUUAGUAUAUAAUUGUGAGGGAGCUGCAACCCUCCCCCCCAUGGAA